UUAAACUUUGUUUUUCUAGAUCUAGGCCCAGCACCUCGAUCGGAUCAGUCUAAAUAGAUAGGUCUUAUCUCUAAAUAUCCAAUACUACUACUAGAUCUAGACUUCAUCUAAUUGGAUUUAGAUCUAAAUUUAGGUCUACUUCGUACAUCAUUAAUGAUCUGAGAAAAGAACUCUGCUCUUGAUCAAAAGCAGUAGAUCUAGAACUAGAAUAAGCCUGAAGCAGUAACAUAAGCCAUAAAUAGCGUAACUUGACUAAAACGAAACAUGUGAACUGAGGCUCGCGGUACUGCGUGGGGUGAAACGCUGUUCGCUUGACUAGAUCAAGAAUAAGCCGACAAACAGUAGAUCUAACAUGCAAAGCCAUAAAUUGCGUGAUUUGACCUAAUUUCCCCAACUCUAACAUCCACUUUUUAUAAAUUGGCGUGUUUUAGUCGCCUUUGUUUUUAGAAACUAGCAUUCCUGUAAAAAGGAAUAGGGAAAUACGCUAAGCCAUAAACUGAAAAAUUUGACCUAAUUUCCCUUAAACUACGUCAUCGACCUUGGUUGUCUGGGAAAUACUGAUCUCGAAUGGCUUCGAGAUUGUGAAAUUUAAUAGUCCCUAAAACUCACAUUAAAUUGCUUAUAUCUAAAUAAUUACAAAGAAUAUAUGUCUAAAAUUUCGUAUGUAUGUUUUUUUAAGCAUUAUGAAUCUAAAAAAAAGUAUAACACCGGUUUCCGCGUCUGACCCCAAAACCUCUUCAGUUGGUCUUUAAAUGUUUCUGUGCAUCUUAAGAUUUUCAAAAUGGCCGCCGUAACUUGGCGGGACUUAGGCUCAUUUUCAUGACACAAUGGCCACUAAAGAUGCAACAAAAGAAUCCAAGACAUCUAACAAGACUGUUAAGACAUCUACCAAACCUGUUCUUCGAAAUCUUCUUCUCACUAAAACAAAAAAAGACUUUGCUUUAGCUCUCAGUGUUGCAUUAACUAUUGCUACCUCCUACUAUAUUUUUGUGAAGCGCCAGCGAAGAAAGAUUUUUGAAGAGUUUCACAGAACAUAUGAUGCUGAUGCCGCUUAUGAAAGAAUGAAAGCCAAAGGUGUGUUCAAACCACGGAAAAGAAGUGAAAGCAAUGCCUAAUUAACAAGGUGAUGUUACACCUUUUCCUGUUUAUCUCUGUAUCCUUCAUAAAUUUGAAAGGAUUUAAAGUUUUGUAUUAGUAAUGAUUUUACAUUUGAUAUUAAACUGGUGAAAAUGGUGUA
RNA transcript from Biomphalaria glabrata, 1237 nucleotides. RefSeq lists it as uncharacterized. The record is from RefSeq and is a predicted model, not a curated record. The transcript is spliced from 4 exons. NCBI's taxonomy places the organism in Eukaryota, Metazoa, Mollusca, Gastropoda, Planorbidae.